AGUUAAUGAGCAACAUCACCAAGGUGCUGAUGGUCACUUUGCAUUCUUCCAGGGCCUGCUCUUCAGCAGGAAGACCCUUCCAUGGAUGCUGCAGAGGACAAGGAAGCUGCAGGACUGCAGCAAGCUGGGCCUGCUCUUCAGCAGGAAGACACCUCCAGGGAUGCUGCAGAGGAUCAGG
This is a long non-coding RNA of Sapajus apella (tufted capuchin), 178 nucleotides long. RefSeq lists it as uncharacterized. The transcript has 3 exons. The record is from RefSeq and is a predicted model, not a curated record. NCBI's taxonomy places the organism in Eukaryota, Metazoa, Chordata, Mammalia, Primates, Cebidae.